RNAcentral lists this transfer RNA (62 nucleotides) under Rhinebothroides sp. MZUSP 8028. RNAcentral's name for it is "tRNA-Tyr". Lineage: Eukaryota; Metazoa; Platyhelminthes; Cestoda; Rhinebothriidea; Rhinebothriidae. The record is from RNAcentral.
UCUGAUUUAGCAUAUAUAUUUAAUGCAUUGGAUUGUAAAUUUUUUUUAUAUUUACAAGCUUA